Molecule: long non-coding RNA, 2228 nt
Filed under: Lactuca sativa (garden lettuce)
Lineage: Eukaryota; Viridiplantae; Streptophyta; Magnoliopsida; Asterales; Asteraceae
Description: long non-coding RNA (LSAT_LNC002200)
Source: RNAcentral
UUUUAACAAGUAACCUGAAUUUCUUGGUCCCCAUUUCUAAUUGAGUUUACUAUUCAACCUAUGGCAACUUCUUUUGCGAGGAUCAUGCUCCCCAAUUUCCUAGAUUUACCGGUUUAUCGGCAAGAGAUCGGCUUAAAUAACGUAGGUAAUCUCACUAAAUCAACUCCAAAAUUCCCAUCGGUUUCCACAAUCUUCUUCUCUAGAAAUCUCACGCUGAAGACUGAAAGUAGUCGGGAACGACGCAUCAGAAACGAAUCCAACCUCAAAUGGAUAGAAAUAGAUAAUUGAUUCCUCAAAUUUUGUCACUAUAUCAUCUCAACCAGGUAAAUUGUUUCCCAAUUUUUUAUUAUUUAGGGUAAUGUUUGAUUUUGACUUUGAGUUGGACUGCCAAAUGGAAAAUGAUGGUAUUCUGAGGCCUAGGACUAGGUGGAACAUCGUUGUUUCAUCCUCUCUGAUUUAUGAACCCUAAUCCUCUGGUAAGCACCAUGUUUCAAGCUUUUGCCCCCAACCAAAAUUAAUCAAGCAAAUCUCUGAGCUAGCAGAAAUCAAACAUGAAAUAGUCAGAGGUAAAAAAAUUUAUGUUUUCUUAUUUUUGGAUGAUGUGUCUUUAAAUUUCUCUGUUUCUUUGUAGGAGAUUUUCCAUUGGGCUUUGUGUUCCAUAUUUUACGUUUUUGUGGGUCUUUUUUGUUAUUGAUUGAGAAGUUUGGAUUUAGAGCUAUCUAGAUUUAGGAGUUAUUAGGAAUUGACUAUGUAGAAAUUCAAGUUGGUUUCUAUUAUCAGAUAUUAAAGAUCAUCAUUAUCCGAAAGGAAGAUGUAACGAAGAUAAUUGGUGGAACUUACAAGUAAGUUUUUUUAACAGUGGUUCCUACAACUAUUUAUAUGAUUUUGUUGUUACUGAAAAAUUUCGCAUGCAGGGGUAUUUGAAUCAAUAAUUGAUGGACAUUGUGUCUUUGAUAGUAGUAGAUUACACCAAAAGAGGAGAUUAGGGAUAGAAAAGGGAAUUGUCCAUGAGGCAGUCCAUUGAAAACAUAGUUCAUGAUUCGGUGUGCAGAUCCACAAUGUCAUGUUUUACUACACAUUACAUGUGUUAUUACACAAUUAGAGUUUACUAGAGAAAUUCCACCUGUUUCACCUUAUUACAUGUUCAAAUAAAGGUUUCUUAUUGGGUGAAUCAAUUAUUUUUUAUGUGGUGUGCGUGAGCAGACAUGGUACAUAUUAUUCAAUGAUAGUGUUCCAUUCAUAAUGCAAUGACCUCAGUAUCCUGAUCUAAAAGUCAUUGGUAUGUUACUUUUAUAAUUAUACUAUUUUAUUUAUAUGCUUUGUAUUUUUCUUAUCAAGGCAUAUUCUAAUAUGAAAAAUCUAACCAAUUUUCGCGUUGUAUUAUAAAACAACAAGCACCAGAGAUAAACUAUAUGGCCUAUUUUGAUAAAGGAAGUAUAGUAUGUACCCAUUUACUAAUUUUUUUUUUUAACUUUUAUUUUGUUUAGGGGACAACUUGGAUGGUUUUGGCCGGUAUAAUAUAUGUAGUACAUAUAGUUAGUGGAUCCACUAACUAAAUUUCAUGGAGCUGCAGAGGUAUGACAUUGUUGUUUUUGUCACUUUUUGUGUCUAAUGUGAUAUUUUUCUCUCUUUGAUUUCACUUUUAUGUGUGGCCUGGGAAUAACAUUGAUGAACUCAUAGUACUUGAGAUAUCAAAACAUGUAAAAUUUUAUAAAAUUCAAUGUAUAAUGAUGUCACAAGAACUUCAAAUAAGGACUAAAAUAGCGAAAUAAACUUUUUGAGACCAAAUUUAUAAAAAUCGAUUAUACACACAGACUGAAAACGUAAUUUACUUUUUUUUCAUUCUCUUUUGACAUGCACUUUCUAUUUGGUAUUUAACAUGACUACACUUGAUUAAAUUGAUUUUAAUCGAUAAAUCACUGUCAACAUAGGAUCAAUAUUUCCGACUUUAUUACGUGAUACGUCCACUGUGGGGGCCUUGGCUCCUCAAGUCCAGGAUGAAGAGCAUGGGUAUCGGUUGUAUGUUCAAACACUUUUCAGGCAAUUUCUUCUAUUAACAAUAAUAUGUUAUUUAUGUUACCAAUGUUGUUCCACAUUUUUAUAUGUUUUUUCUGUUGUCGUACUUUUUAUGUUAACAUGCUAAUGUUACAAUAUUACUUUCUAAUUCUAUGCUAAUGUUACAAGCUAUUUUACCAUAUAUAUAGUAUUUUUUGUGAGUUGUACUUGGA